GGGCCAUAGCUCAGUCGUAGAAUAUCUGCUUUGCAUGCAGAAGGUUCCCAGGUUCAAUUCCCACCAUCUCCA
This 72-nucleotide transfer RNA is filed under the name Podarcis lilfordi (Lilford's wall lizard). RNAcentral's name for it is "tRNA.Ala". Lineage: Eukaryota; Metazoa; Chordata; Lepidosauria; Squamata; Lacertidae. The record is from RNAcentral.